UACGGAGGGUGCGAGCGUUGUUCGGAAUCACUGGGCGUAAAGCGCGUGUAGGCGGCCCACUAAGUCUGAUGUGAAAUCCCUCGGCUUAACCGGGGAACUGCAUCUGAUACUGGAUGGCUUGAGUUCGGGAGAGGGAUGCGGAAUUCCAGGUGUAGCGGUGAAAUGCGUAGAUAUCUGGAGGAACACCGGUGGCGAAGGCGGCAUCCUGGACCGACACUGACGCUGAGGAGCGAAAGCGUGGGGAGCGAACAGG
Molecule: ribosomal RNA, 253 nt
Filed under: uncultured bacterium
Lineage: Bacteria
Description: partial 16S ribosomal RNA
Rfam family: Bacterial small subunit ribosomal RNA
Source: RNAcentral